RNAcentral lists this ribosomal RNA (429 nucleotides) under Fusobacteriota bacterium. RNAcentral describes it as "Fusobacteria bacterium partial 16S ribosomal RNA". It matches the Rfam family "Bacterial small subunit ribosomal RNA", at positions 355 to 776 of the family's 1533-position model. Lineage: Bacteria; Fusobacteriati; Fusobacteriota. The record is from RNAcentral.
UGGGGAAUCUUCCGCAAUGGACGAAAGUCUGACGGAGCAACGCCGCGUGAGUGAAGACGGCCUUCGGGUUGUAAAGCCCUGUUAUUCGGGAAGAACGAUUCGUUUGUGAACAAUGAACGGAAGUGACGGUACCGAAAGAGAAAGCCACGGCUAACUACGUGCCAGCAGCCGCGGUAAUACGUAGGUGGCAAGCGUUGUCCGGAAUUAUUGGGCGUAAAGAGCGCGUAGGCGGUAUGGUAAGUCUGUCUUAGAAGUGCGGGGCUUAACCCCGUGAGGGGACAGAGACUGUCAUACUGGAGUCUCGGAGAGGAAAGCGGAAUUCCUAGUGUAGCGGUGAAAUGCGUAGAGAUUAGGAAGAACACCGGUGGCGAAGGCGGCUUUCUGGACGAGCACUGACGCUGAGGCGCGAAAGCGUGGGGAGCGAACAGG